AUGGCCCCUCAGCAGUGCCUUGUUUGGAUAGCACUCCUUGCGGUGCCUCUCCUGUGUUACGUGAUGACGUACACUAGAAGAGCUGCCUGCCGGUGGCCGCCGGGCCCCCGGUCGUGGCCCAUUGUCGGCAACCUCCUCGACCUGCGCGGCGGCAACCUCCACCACAACCUCGCGCGCCUGGCGCGCGCCCAUGGCCCGGUGAUGACGCUCAAGCUUGGCGUGGUGAGCACCGUGUUCGUGUCCUCCCGGGAUGCGGCGUGGGAGGCGUUCGCCAAGCAUGACCGCCGUAUAGCGGCGCGCAACGUCCCGGACACGAGGCGCACCGUGGGGCACGCCGACCGUUCCAUGGUGUGGCUACCGAGCUCCGACCCGAUGUGGAAGACGCUGCGUGGUAUCGCUGCCACGCAUGUCUUCUCACCGCGCAGCCUCGCGGCUGCGCAUGGCGCCCGUGAGCGGGCCGUGCAACACAUGCUGGACAUCUUCCGCGGCCGCGCCGGGCUGGAGGUCGACAUUGGCCACGUCCUGUACCACAGCAUUUUCGACCUGCUGACCAACACGAUCUUCUCCCUCGAUGGCCAGGACAAGCUGAGGGACCUUCUCGAGGACAUCGUGGGGCUGCUGGCCGAGCCCAACAUGUCAGACUUGUACCCAUUGCUGCGGGUGCUCGACCUGCAAGGGCUUCGCCGCUGGACGGCCACACACAUGAACCACGCCUUCCAUAUGCUGGAGAAGAUCAUCGACACGCGGCUGGGCGAGGGUAAGCAUUAUCAUGGGGACGUCCUGGACGCACUGCUGACGGUUAUGACCACCGGCAAGCUGAGCCGCCAAGACGUGAAGGCCAUGCUAUUCGACAUCCUGGCGGCGGGCACAGAGACGACCAAGAUCACUGUAGAGUGGGCGAUGGCGGAGCUGUUGCGGAACCCGGGCGUGAUGGCGGCUGUGCACGCCGAGAUGAAGGCCGCCCUCCCGCAGGAGCCGAAGAGGAUGAUCACGGAGGCAGAUGUGGCGAAGCUGCCAUACCUGCAAGCCGCAGUGAAGGAGUCGAUGCGGCUGCACCCCGUGGCGCCGCUACUGCUGCCACACCUGGUUGUCGAGGAGGGCGUGGAGAUAGGCGGCUACGCCGUGCCCAAGGGCGCCACCGUCAUCUUCAACUCUUGGUCCAUCAUGCGCGACCCGGCGGCAUGGGAGAGGCCCGAGGAGUUUGUGCCGGAGCGUUUCCUAGAGAAGGCGGAGCUCGGCAUGUGGGGGAAGGAGGUCAAGUUUAUCCCGCUGGGAACCGGCCGGAGGCUGUGCCCCGCAUUGCCCAUGGUGGAGCUCCUCGUACCCUUCAUGGUGGCGUCUAUGUUGCAUGCCUUGGAGUGGCGGCUGCCCCAGGGCAUGUCACCUGAUCAGGUGGACGUGACCGAGAGGUAUACAAGCAACGAUACCCUCGUUAUGGAUGUGCCUCUCAAGGUUGUGCCCAUGGUCGCCACCUAG
This 1476-nucleotide ribosomal RNA is filed under the name Triticum aestivum (bread wheat). RNAcentral describes it as "partial small subunit ribosomal RNA". The record is from RNAcentral. Lineage: Eukaryota; Viridiplantae; Streptophyta; Magnoliopsida; Poales; Poaceae.